Molecule: long non-coding RNA, 731 nt
Organism: Acanthopagrus latus (yellowfin seabream)
Lineage: Eukaryota; Metazoa; Chordata; Actinopteri; Spariformes; Sparidae
Exons: 3
Source: RefSeq, a predicted model, not a curated record
GUUUCAAGAACCUUGCUGUGCUCAAUCCUUAAGCUUUUUUGACCAAAGCAUUACUAACAUUCCAUUUAGACAUCAGGGAACCAUGUCAGGAAGCAGAAAUGAGCAUAAUAUGUCACCUUUAAAAGCGCUAUAAAAGGGAGCGUCUAAGAGGAGGUUGUCAUUUCUUCUGAGACAGUUGAAGAGAUAAACAACAACAUGAAGAGGCCUGCUACUCCAGACCAGACUGUGCCUUCCCGCCGCCCCCGCCUGCAUCCCCCAGAUGCCCAACCUGAAGCUGCUGAGGAGGAUUACCCCACUCCUCCAACUGCAGUUGAGGAUGUGCCGGUUGUCUACCCGUCAGUGGAGCAGCGGGGUGGUUCAACUGAUUCUCCUCCGGGAAGGCAGACAGAUACCGUGGUUGCGACAAGUUUUGCUGAGUCUGGCACUGAGGAGGUGGAGGAUGCCGGACCCAGUCAAGUCUUCUUGAAGUGUUGUUAGCCCGACCCUCUGUGGUUAGACUGCUUGAAGCCAAGUAUCCUUGGCAAAACACACUUAAACAAUACCAACUCUUGUUAGAUCCGACAGUGAAAUUAUUCAAGUUCUUGCAACAUGUUCCUGUCAAAGUCUCUCAAAAUGUAAAAUAAGUCCCAUUACUGUGAGCUGGCAACAAGCAAGAAACAUCAAUCAUCAAUUUAGCCUUCUCCAACAAAGUUGUGUGUCAUGAACACAAUGGGCACACCAUCCUUUAGUCA